AUUGAACGCUGGCGGCAGGCCUAACACAUGCAAGUCGAGCGGAUGAAGGGAGCUUGCUCCUGGAUUCAGCGGCGGACGGGUGAGUAAUGCCUAGGAAUCUGCCUGGUAGUGGGGGAUAACGUCCGGAAACGGGCGCUAAUACCGCAUACGUCCUGAGGGAGAAAGUGGGGGAUCUUCGGACCUCACGCUAUCAGAUGAGCCUAGGUCGGAUUAGCUAGUUGGUGGGGUAACGGCCUACCAAGGCGACGAUCCGUAACUGGGCUGAGAGGAUGAUCAGUCACACUGGAACUGAGACACGGUCCAGACUCCUACGGGAGGCAGCAGUGGGGAAUAUUGGACAAUGGGCGAAAGCCUGAUCCAGCCAUGCCGCGUGUGUGAAGAAGGUCUUCGGAUUGUAAAGCACUUUAAGUUGGGAGGAAGGGCAGUAAGUUAAUACCUUGCUGUUUUGACGUUACCAACAGAAUAAGCACCGGCUAACUUCGUG
This 484-nucleotide ribosomal RNA is filed under the name uncultured bacterium. Its description in RNAcentral is "partial 16S ribosomal RNA". It matches the Rfam family "Bacterial small subunit ribosomal RNA", at positions 30 to 507 of the family's 1533-position model. The record is from RNAcentral.